AUCGAACGCUAGCGGCAUGCCUUACACAUGCAAGUCGAACGGAGUGGCGAACGGGUGAGUAAUGUCUAGGAACGUGCCCAGUAGCGGGGGAUAACUCCGCGAAAGCGUCGCUAAUACCGCAUACUAUUGGAGCGGCCGCUUUCGGAUUAGCUAGUUGGUGGGGUAACGGCUUACCAAGGCGACGAUCCGUAGCUGGUCUGAGAGGACGACCCGCCAAACUGGGACUGAGACACGGCCCAGACUCCUACGGGAGGCAGCAGUGGGGAAUUUUGGACAAUGGGGGAAACCCUGAUCCAGCCAUGCCGCGUGUGCGAUGAAGGCCUUCGGGUUGUAAAGCACUUUUGGCAGGAAAGCGGUACCUGCAGAGUAAGCACCGGCUAACUACGUGCCAGCAGCCGCGGUAAUUC
RNAcentral lists this ribosomal RNA (407 nucleotides) under uncultured bacterium. Its description in RNAcentral is "partial 16S ribosomal RNA". It matches the Rfam family "Bacterial small subunit ribosomal RNA", at positions 30 to 526 of the family's 1533-position model. The record is from RNAcentral.